CCUACGGGAGGCUGCAGUGAGGAAUAUUGGUCAAUGGGCGCGAGCCUGAACCAGCCAAGUCGCGUGAGGGAUGAAGGUUCUAUGGAUCGUAAACCUCUUUUAUCAGGGAAUAAAGUGUGGGACGUGUCCUAUUUUGUAUGUACCUUAUGAAUAAGGAUCGGCUAACUCCGUGCCAGCAGCCGCGGUAAUACGGAGGAUCCGAGCGUUAUCCGGAUUUAUUGGGUUUAAAGGGUGCGUAGGCGGCCUUUUAAGUCAGCGGUGAAAGUCUGUGGCUCAACCAUAGAAUUGCCGUUGAAACUGGGGGGCUUGAGUAUGUGUGAGGCAGGCGGAAUGCGUGGUGUAGCGGUGAAAUGCUUAGAUAUCACGAAGAACCCCGAUUGCGAAGGCAGCUUACUAAACUGUGACUGACAUUGAUGCUCGAAAGUGUGGGUAUCAAACAGGAUUAGAUACCCCUGUAGUC
RNAcentral lists this ribosomal RNA (460 nucleotides) under uncultured bacterium. RNAcentral's name for it is "partial 16S ribosomal RNA". It matches the Rfam family "Bacterial small subunit ribosomal RNA", at positions 338 to 795 of the family's 1533-position model. The record is from RNAcentral.